AGCCCAAACCAACAAGCUUGCUUGUUGGGGUUGUAGGACACUCUAUACGGAGUUACAAAAGAACAUGUUAGACGAAUCAUCUGGAAAGAUGAAUCAAAGAAGGUAAUAAUCCUGUAGUCGAAAACAUAUUCUCUCUUGAGUGGAUCCUGAGUACGACGGAGCACGUGAAAUUCCGUCGGAAUCUGGGAGGACCAUCUCCUAAGGCUAAAUACUCUCUAGUGACCGAUAGUGAACCAGUACCGUGAGGGAAAGGUGAAAAGUACCCCGGAAGGGGAGUGAAAGAGAACUUGAAACCGUGUGCUUACAAGUAGUCAGAGCCCGUUAAUGGGUGAUGGCGUGCCUUUUGUAGAAUGAACCGGCGAGUUACGAUCUGAUGCAAGGUUAAGCAGCAAAUGUGGAGCCGCAGCGAAAGCGAGUCUGAAUAGGGCGUUGAGUAUUUGGUCGUAGACCCGAAACCAGGUGAUCUACCCUUGGUCAGGUUGAAGUUCAGGUAACACUGAAUGGAGGACCGAACCGACUUACGUUGAAAAGUGAGCGGAUGAACUGAGGGUAGCGGAGAAAUUCCAAUCGAACUUGGAGAUAGCUGGUUCUCUCCGAAAUAGCUUUAGGGCUAGCCUCAAGUGAUGAUUAUUGGAGGUAGAGCACUGUUUGGACGAGGGGCCCCUCUCGGGUUACCGAAUUCAGACAAACUCCGAAUGCCAAUUAAUUUAACUUGGGAGUCAGAACAUGGGUGAUAAGGUCCGUGUUCGAAAGGGAAACAGCCCAGACCACCAGCUAAGGUCCCAAAAUAUAUGUUAAGUGGAAAAGGAUGUGGCGUUGCCCAGACAACUAGGAUGUUGGCUUAGAAGCAGCCAUCAUUUAAAGAGUGCGUAAUAGCUCACUAGUCGAGUGACACUGCGCCGAAAAUGUACCGGGGCUAAACAUAUUACCGAAGCUGUGGAUUGUCCUUUGGACAAUGGUAGGAGAGCGUUCUAAGGGCGUCGAAGCAUGAUCGCAAGGACAUGUGGAGCGCUUAGAAGUGAGAAUGCCGGUGUGAGUAGCGAAAGACGGGUGAGAAUCCCGUCCACCGAUUGACUAAGGUUUCCAGAGGAAGGCUCGUCCGCUCUGGGUUAGUCGGGUCCUAAGCUGAGGCCGACAGGCGUAGGCGAUGGAUAACAGGUUGAUAUUCCUGUACCACCUAGUAUCGUUUUAAUCGAUGGGGGGACGCAGUAGGAUAGGCGAAGCGUGCUGUUGGAGUGCACGUCCAAGCAGUAAGGCUGAGUGUUAGGCAAAUCCGGCACUCAUAAGGCUGAGCUGUGAUGGGGAGAGGAAAUUGUUUCCUCGAGUCGUUGAUUUCACACUGCCGAGAAAAGCCUCUAGAUAGAUAACAGGUGCCCGUACCGCAAACCGACACAGGUAGUCAAGAUGAGAAUUCUAAGGUGAGCGAGCGAACUCUCGUUAAGGAACUCGGCAAAAUGACCCCGUAACUUCGGGAGAAGGGGUGCUCUUUAGGGUU
This 1495-nucleotide ribosomal RNA is filed under the name Staphylococcus epidermidis. Its description in RNAcentral is "partial 23S ribosomal RNA". It matches the Rfam family "Bacterial large subunit ribosomal RNA", at positions 266 to 1762 of the family's 2925-position model. Lineage: Bacteria; Bacillati; Bacillota; Bacilli; Caryophanales; Staphylococcaceae. The record is from RNAcentral.